RNA transcript from Tripterygium wilfordii, 1457 nucleotides. RefSeq lists it as uncharacterized. The transcript is spliced from 6 exons. The record is from RefSeq and is a predicted model, not a curated record. Lineage: Eukaryota; Viridiplantae; Streptophyta; Magnoliopsida; Celastrales; Celastraceae.
CCCCACUAAAGUCCAAAUCAAAUACUAGCCGUCCACCGACGCCUUUGCCGCUAUAAAUACGGCAUCCGCCCUUCUUUUUUGCAGCAGAAGCGCACAACAAAACCUAACCUGCCCUGAAACAUCAUCAGAAAGAAAUGACUCCAGGUAAUCACGCCACGGGAUCGGCCAUGUCAGUUAUGACACAGAAAAAGGACAACGGCGCUAGACUGCGGCGCCGCAGGACAAAGAGAAGGAGCCUUGUGGCUACAGUGGAGAAGCUAAGUGCAAUGAUGUCGAAGAAGAGAGCAAAAUCGGAACGCAUGAAGAAGAGGCUGAGCAAAAUGAAAGCCCAAGUGGAAGAGAUGGGGUCAGAAUGUGCCACAAUGCUUGAGCAGAAUAAGUUGGCGAUUGAGGAGAAUGUUGACAUCCAACUCUCCGUAGAUUUCAUGGUGCUUGCCUUCUUAUGCAGCGGCAAUGGUGGAGGCUGAUUACUAUGCCAAAUCCUAGCCUAUGCCUAUGUGUCUUUGGUGUGCAAUUUACAAUUUCUUUGAUUGUGGUGGAAGGAAGCUAAUGGCUAUUGGUUUCCCCAAAACCUAGCCUAUGCAUAUGUGUCUUCUGGGCAUGUAAUUGCCUGUUUCUUUUAUUGUGGUGGAAGGAAUCUGAUGGCUGUUGGUUUCCCCAAACCCUGACCUAUGCGGGUUGACAAUGAUUGAAGUUUGGUUGCCUUACAGUGGACUGUUGAGUAGGCUCCAGGGUUGUCCAGUGGAAUGCAAUUUGAACUUCGAGACAAGUCGUAGCUCAGACAUUUUUGGGUACGAAUUACUGCUCGUGCAUCUUGGAUUUAAAAUGAUAACUAGUGUUUUGCAGAACUUAUGAGCAGUGGAAAAUGCAUAUCCAACUUGGUGGUCAUAUAUGAGACAAUCUGGGUAGUUUAGCUGGCUGCAAGGUUCAUCUCCAUAUUCUGAAAGAAAUUCAGUUUGCAGAAGUUGAUACACAAGGUUAUGUUAGCAUUUGCAGACCUUGUACAUGUUCAGUUUAACUGCUACAGAGAUCUUUUAACAGAUUAUUGAAGAAUCAGUCAUGUCAGUAAGGACUAAAGCACACAACACAGGGUACAGCAUCGUAUGACAAACAGAAGGAGGCUCAAGGUCAGUACCGUUAGAUCUUGUAUUUUAGUAAGCUAAGUACAUUCAGAUUUCUUCUUUUAUCAUAUCCCUUUUUGCAACUUCUUAUUUGUUCUCCUAAACAAACCAAAACCAAAACCAAAUGAAAGCUACAUUGGAGAAGAUAAGAGCAAAGGUUCGAAGAAGAGAGCUGAAGCAGAACCCGAACCUGUUGAGAAGAGGCUAAACAAAACGGAAGCCUAAGUGGAAGAGAUGGAAUCAGAACGAUUUCAUGUAUUUCUAUUUAAUGUAGGGUGUGAAAAAAAUAUACCCCUCAUGGUUAUCUCUAUUCAUGGUUCUUAUCAUUGUGGAUCU